RNAcentral lists this ribosomal RNA (484 nucleotides) under uncultured bacterium. Its description in RNAcentral is "bacterial SSU rRNA". It matches the Rfam family "Bacterial small subunit ribosomal RNA", at positions 15 to 518 of the family's 1533-position model. The record is from RNAcentral.
GAUCAUGGCUCAGGACGAACGCUGGCGGCGUGCUUCAUACAUGCAAGUCGAACGAUAAGGUCUCUUCGGAGAUACAUAAGUGGCGGACGGGUGAGUAAAAUGUAGAGAAUCUGCCCUUAAGCGGGGGACAACAGAGGGAAACUUCUGCUAAUACCCCAUAUGAGCGUACCUGAAAUGGUAUUCUUGAAAACUCCGGUGCUUAAGGAUGAGUCUGCAUCUGAUUAGCUAGUUGGGGGUGUAAUGGACCACCAAGGCGACGAUCAGUAGCUGGUUUGAGAGGAUGAUCAGCCACAAUGGGACUGAGACACGGCCCAUACUCCUACGGGAGGCAGCAGUAGGGAAUUUUGCGCAAUGGGGGAAACCCUGAACCGCAGCAACGCCGCGUGACCGAUGAAGCCCUUCGGGGUGUAAAGGUCUGUCAGUGGGGACGAAACUUGACGGUACCCACAGAGGAAGCAUCGGCUAACUCCGUGCCAGCCGCGGC